This 2332-nucleotide long non-coding RNA is filed under the name Megachile rotundata (alfalfa leafcutting bee). RNAcentral's name for it is "uncharacterized LOC105663101, transcript variant X2". Lineage: Eukaryota; Metazoa; Arthropoda; Insecta; Hymenoptera; Megachilidae. The record is from RNAcentral.
CUUCUUCGGAGUCAUUGGCCGACGACGUGCAAAGAUGUACAGAAACGAGGUGGUACCGCGACGAGGGUUCAAACAGGACCAUUUUAUACGGAUCGUUCCUUUAGUGGGUCGUUAAUCUUUGACUAGAGUGGUCAGCAAGGUUUAAUAGCGACCCGUUGAAGCCAAUCGGUGAUCGAUGGCUAGAACUUAGGGAUUCCACUGAAGAAGCCGAUGAUACCGGGCAGUGUUGAAUCGCGUUGGAUUCCUCGGCAACGGAAGAACGAGCCCAGCCUCUUAUUUGCAUGGAAACCUAACGAAUCAUCGGUCGGUGUUCACGUGACCGACGUCUAUUCUUCUACGAGAGAAUGAGACUCCAGAAAGAGGGGCAGGUUUUUCUGGAACGAACAAAAAGCCUCAGACUAUACGUAACCGGGUAAAAUGGCAGUUCGUGGACAAAAUACAAACGCAGCAGGUCACGGUUUGUGACAAAGGUAAACUUAUGAUGACGCAACUAGUAUACCUGGAAUGACAUGUUUCAAAAAACCUAAGGAAAACAGUACGUGGCACCUUUCCUCAUGCUUGCUCUUUGCCAGAGGAAAGCUCCGUUGCAUCCGAGUGUACACAGGUUGUCGCGGUUGAUUACUUCGAAACACACUCGGAUCGAUCGACGUGGAGAAGAAAAGAGCAUGGAAAGUCGAGCGAUACGGAAUGCACAACGGCGAGAUAAAAAUGUUCCCGUCCCGUGGCUAUUGGCGUGGUGCGACGCAUACGAAGAAGCGGCACCGGGGAAUAUCGAGAUGCUCCAGUUGCUUUUGUUUCCGCAGAAACACGCCUGAUAAACGGCAGCCUCGUUCUUUGACCCGGCAACUAUGUUUUUUCGCGGGAUUAAUUAACGAGUCUGCUAUUCUUUCGUCGAUUACAUCGUUACCAGUGCUUUCAACUUGCUGGCUAAAUGGUUCAUUCGAUUUAUUUGCACGAACGAUUCCGAAUGAUUAAGUCCGUACACGAAAUCGAUGAAUAGUUGGCUGUGGAUCGAGACGAAAGGACGAGGCUCUACGAAGGCUCCAGGGCAACCACCACGAGUCUCCGAAUCCGAUGUGCGCUCGAGCCCGAUCAAUAACACGGGGCGUGCACCACACCGAGGCCACCCUUUUCCUUCUCGCCGGCCAGGGGUCCUACCGUUGGUACCCCGGCUGACCUUCGAAAUUGAUCCAUUUAUCGCCGUAAUCCUUUCGAUUAUAUUACUAAACUUUUGUUGACUUUCAGGUGCAGAUACUCUCUACUUCAAAUAGGCUCUAUUGUACUCGAUAACACGGCGAUAUAAUGCGAGACAAUUUUCUUAUGAUAACGUAACGGGACUGUACAACGCGGUGAUAUGAGGCAAGGCUUUAUAACAACACGCGAGUAACACAAUGCGUGAUGAUACAGCACUAAGCUAUAGAAUAGACAAGUACUUGUGAUGAUAAAAUACGUAAUGCAGCGAUAUAACGCGAAUAUCACGGGUAGCAAUAUUGCAGCCAUAAAAGAACAAUAUGUAAACAAGUAAAGACUUAGCAAUAUUUCAUUACUAAAGUUUUUAUUAAUUUCAUAACAUUAAGUUUAAUUAAACUGAAAUACUUUUGAGGAAGAUUCAUGGUGUUAAGGACUAUCGUUGGAUAUUCAGCCCCAUUAGAAGUAUCAUACGAAGAGGCAGCUUCAGAGCGGAAAUCUGUGUAAAAGCUCGGUUUGGCAUGUAAAGCGUAGAUAUGUAAAGAGGAUCGCAGCAGAAGGCGGACACAUCAAAGCGAUUUUCAUUCAAAUCUAUUACUCGAAUAUUCUGGGAUCGGUUGGAGUCUAAAAAAAGAAGUGACUGCCACUCGAGCCAGAAAUAAGUCCCAACACAGCAUCCCAAUUCAGACACCCCUGAUAUGAGUCCAUAUAAGUAGCGGUUAUAAGUACCUCGUUAGAACUACCAUUGAGAAAGCUCAAUUAAGCUUGAUUCAAAUUUACAAGAAUUUCUUAUUUCAUAUUCAGUUAAUUUUAUCGAAUUAAGCAAAAUUCAGUUAGAUGCGGAAUUCAAUUAUUCGAGUAAUGUAAUUAUCUAAUUAAUGUAAGACAUAAUUGUACUUAAAUUAUGGUUCACGUAUGGAAAUCGAUUAUGUACCGAUUGCUAUGACAGUAACAGCGUACUGUGACCCAGAAAACCCAUCGAGUUGAUCGUUCAUUUUGCGAUAUCUUUGCGAAAGCACGUCGCGGCUUCCGUUUCCUGUUUUCAAACCGAGGCCUAACAAUUCCAAUAUGAUAAAGGCGUCCUGUCCUCGCACGUUCCGAGUCGAUGUAACCAACAGAAUAAAAACGUUCUUAUUGGACAAUA